CAGUGAUCGUCUCUGCUGGC
RNAcentral lists this microRNA (20 nucleotides) under Homo sapiens (human). Its description in RNAcentral is "hsa-miR-8079". The record is from miRBase by way of RNAcentral. Lineage: Eukaryota; Metazoa; Chordata; Mammalia; Primates; Hominidae.